UCAGUGAAUCAUCGAAUCUUUGAACGCACAUUGCGCCCGCCAGUAUUCUGGCGGGCAUGCCUGUUCGAGCGUCAU
RNAcentral lists this ribosomal RNA (75 nucleotides) under Tolypocladium inflatum. Its description in RNAcentral is "5.8S ribosomal RNA". It matches the Rfam family "5.8S ribosomal RNA", at positions 81 to 154 of the family's 154-position model. Rfam says of the family: 5.8S ribosomal RNA (5.8S rRNA) is a component of the large subunit of the eukaryotic ribosome. It is transcribed by RNA polymerase I as part of the 45S precursor that also contains 18S and 28S rRNA. RNAcentral also lists the same sequence under 4 other names. The record is from RNAcentral. Lineage: Eukaryota; Fungi; Ascomycota; Sordariomycetes; Hypocreales; Ophiocordycipitaceae.